Molecule: ribosomal RNA, 1886 nt
Filed under: Klebsiella pneumoniae
Lineage: Bacteria; Pseudomonadati; Pseudomonadota; Gammaproteobacteria; Enterobacterales; Enterobacteriaceae
Description: partial 23S ribosomal RNA
Rfam family: Bacterial large subunit ribosomal RNA
Source: RNAcentral
UGUUUCGGCUAGGGGGUCAUCCCGACUUACCAACCCGAUGCAAACUACGAAUACCGAAGAAUGUUAUCACGGGAGACACACGGCGGGUGCUAACGUCCGUCGUGAAGAGGGAAACAACCCAGACCGCCAGCUAAGGUCCCAAAGUCAUGGUUAAGUGGGAAACGAUGUGGGAAGGCACAGACAGCCAGGAUGUUGGCUUAGAAGCAGCCAUCAUUUAAAGAAAGCGUAAUAGCUCACUGGUCGAGUCGGCCUGCGCGGAAGAUGUAACGGGGCUAAACCAUGCACCGAAGCUGCGGCAGCGACACUAUGUGUUGUUGGGUAGGGGAGCGUUCUGUAAGCCUGCGAAGGUGUGCUGUGAGGCAUGCUGGAGGUAUCAGAAGUGCGAAUGCUGACAUAAGUAACGAUAAAGCGGGUGAAAAGCCCGCUCGCCGGAAGACCAAGGGUUCCUGUCCAACGUUAAUCGGGGCAGGGUGAGUCGACCCCUAAGGCGAGGCCGAAAGGCGUAGUCGAUGGGAAACAGGUUAAUAUUCCUGUACUUGGUGUUACUGCGAAGGGGGGACGGAGAAGGCUAUGUUAGCCGGGCGACGGUUGUCCCGGUUUAAGCAUGUAGGCUGGUUGUCCAGGCAAAUCCGGAUAAUCAAGGCUGAGGUGUGAUGACGAGGCACUACGGUGCUGAAGUAACAAAUGCCCUGCUUCCAGGAAAAGCCUCUAAGCAUCAGGUAACAUCAAAUCGUACCCCAAACCGACACAGGUGGUCAGGUAGAGAAUACCAAGGCGCUUGAGAGAACUCGGGUGAAGGAACUAGGCAAAAUGGUGCCGUAACUUCGGGAGAAGGCACGCUGGUGUGUAGGUGAAGUCCCUGCGGAUGGAGCUGAGACCAGUCGAAGAUACCAGCUGGCUGCAACUGUUUAUUAAAAACACAGCACUGUGCAAACACGAAAGUGGACGUAUACGGUGUGACGCCUGCCCGGUGCCGGAAGGUUAAUUGAUGGGGUUAUCCGUAAGGAGAAGCUCUUGAUCGAAGCCCCGGUAAACGGCGGCCGUAACUAUAACGGUCCUAAGGUAGCGAAAUUCCUUGUCGGGUAAGUUCCGACCUGCACGAAUGGCGUAAUGAUGGCCAGGCUGUCUCCACCCGAGACUCAGUGAAAUUGAACUCGCUGUGAAGAUGCAGUGUACCCGCGGCAAGACGGAAAGACCCCGUGAACCUUUACUAUAGCUUGACACUGAACAUUGAGCCUUGAUGUGUAGGAUAGGUGGGAGGCUUUGAAGCGUGGACGCCAGUCUGCGUGGAGCCAACCUUGAAAUACCACCCUUUAAUGUUUGAUGUUCUAACGUUGGCCCCUGACCGGGGUUGCGGACAGUGUCUGGUGGGUAGUUUGACUGGGGCGGUCUCCUCCCAAAGCGUAACGGAGGAGCACGAAGGUUAGCUAAUCCUGGUCGGACAUCAGGAGGUUAGUGCAAUGGCAUAAGCUAGCUUGACUGCGAGCGUGACGGCGCGAGCAGGUGCGAAAGCAGGUCAUAGUGAUCCGGUGGUUCUGAAUGGAAGGGCCAUCGCUCAACGGAUAAAAGGUACUCCGGGGAUAACAGGCUGAUACCGCCCAAGAGUUCAUAUCGACGGCGGUGUUUGGCACCUCGAUGUCGGCUCAUCACAUCCUGGGGCUGAAGUAGGUCCCAAGGGUAUGGCUGUUCGCCAUUUAAAGUGGUACGCGAGCUGGGUUUAGAACGUCGUGAGACAGUUCGGUCCCUAUCUGCCGUGGGCGCUGGAGAAUUGAGGGGGGCUGCUCCUAGUACGAGAGGACCGGAGUGGACGCAUCACUGGUGUUCGGGUUGUCAUGCCAAUGGCACUGCCCGGUAGCUAAAUGCGGAAGAGAUAAGUGCUGAAAGCA